This is a non-coding RNA of Aedes albopictus (Asian tiger mosquito), 45 nucleotides long. The record is from Rfam. Lineage: Eukaryota; Metazoa; Arthropoda; Insecta; Diptera; Culicidae.
CAAACGGCCCUUUUUAGGGCCACAGAAAAUCCCACUCAAGAGGUG